UGUGGGUGUCGGGCAACGGCGUAUUGUGCAAUACGAGGAAAGUCCGGGCUCCAUGGAAAACGGUGCCGGGUAACACCCGGCGGGGGAAACUUCAGGGAAAGUGCCACAGAAAAUAUACCGCCACGCAUGUGGUAAGGGUGAAAUGGUGCGGUAAGAGCGCACCGCUGUCGUGGUAACAUGACAGGCAGGGUAAACCCCACCGGGAGCAAGACCAAAUAGGCUUUUUAUGCCACGAAAGUGGCCAGUAUUUCCGACUGAUGAAAAGCGGGUAGGUUGCUAGAGGGGCAUGGCAACAUGUCUCGUAGAUGAAUCGUUGCCUCGCGUGCGUACGCACGUAUGACAGAACCCGGCUUACAGACACCCGCAUUAU
Molecule: RNase P RNA, 370 nt
Filed under: Alphaproteobacteria bacterium
Lineage: Bacteria; Pseudomonadati; Pseudomonadota; Alphaproteobacteria
Description: RNase P RNA component class A
Rfam family: Bacterial RNase P class A
About the family: Ribonuclease P (RNase P) is a ubiquitous endoribonuclease, found in archaea, bacteria and eukarya as well as chloroplasts and mitochondria. Its best characterised activity is the generation of mature 5'-ends of tRNAs by cleaving the 5'-leader elements of precursor-tRNAs.
Source: RNAcentral